RNAcentral lists this ribosomal RNA (40 nucleotides) under Naucleopsis ulei. Its description in RNAcentral is "partial 26S ribosomal RNA". The record is from RNAcentral. Lineage: Eukaryota; Viridiplantae; Streptophyta; Magnoliopsida; Rosales; Moraceae.
CAACGCGACCCCAGGUCAGGAGGGGCCACCCGCUGAGUUU